Molecule: ribosomal RNA, 472 nt
Filed under: uncultured organism
Description: partial 16S ribosomal RNA
Rfam family: Bacterial small subunit ribosomal RNA
Source: RNAcentral
CACUCCUGCGGGAGGCAGCAGUGGGGAAUUUUGGACAAUGGGGGCAACCCUGAUCCAGCAAUGCCGCGUGAGUGAAGAAGGCCUUCGGGUUGUAAAGCUCUUUUGUCAGGGAAGAAACGGUGGUGGCGAAUAACUACUACUAAUGACGGUACCUGAAGAAUAAGCACCGGCUAACUACGUGCCAGCAGCCGCGGUAAUACGUAGGGUGCAAGCGUUAAUCGGAAUUACUGGGCGUAAAGCGUGCGCAGGCGGUUGUGUAAGUCAGAUGUGAAAUCCCCGGGCUCAACCUGGGAAUUGCAUUUGAGACUGCACGGCUAGAGUGUGUCAGAGGGGGGUAGAAUUCCACGUGUAGCAGUGAAAUGCGUAGAUAUGUGGAGGAAUACCGAUGGCGAAGGCAGCCCCCUGGGAUAACACUGACGCUCAUGCACGAAAGCGUGGGGAGCAAACAGGAUUAGAAACCCUUGUAGGCCCA